ACGAAGGGUGCAAGCGUUAAUCGGAAUUACUGGGCGUAAAGCGUGCGCAGGCGGCUUCCUAAGUCAGAUGUGAAAUCCCCGGGCUCAACCUGGGAACUGCGUUUGAAACUGGGAGGCUAGAGUGCGGCAGAGGGGGGUGGAAUUCCUGGUGUAGCGGUGAAAUGCGCAGAUAUCAGGAGGAACACCGAUGGCGAAGGCAGGUCUCUGGGCAUUAACUGACGCUGAGGAGCGAAAGCAUGGGGAGCGAACAGGA
RNAcentral lists this ribosomal RNA (253 nucleotides) under uncultured prokaryote. RNAcentral's name for it is "partial 16S ribosomal RNA". It matches the Rfam family "Bacterial small subunit ribosomal RNA", at positions 525 to 777 of the family's 1533-position model. The record is from RNAcentral.